GAUGAAGAACGUAGCGAAAUGCGAUACUUGGAGUGAAUUGCAGAAUCCCGUGAACCAUCGAGUCUUUGAACGCAAGUUGCGCCUCAAGCCAUUAGGUUGAGGGCACGUCUGCCUGGGCGUCACAUAUCGUUGCCUGAUGCCAGUUUCCUCGUGAUGGGUGACUGUGCAGGGCGAAUGAUGGCUUCCCGUGAGCAUUGUUGCCUCAUGGUUGGUUGAAAAUUGAGUCCUUGGUAGGGAGCGCCGUGAUAGAUGGUGGUUGAGUGACGAACGAGACCCAAUCAUGUGAGACCCCUACCGAAUUUGGCCUUCAUGACCCACAUGCGUCUUUGGAACGCUCAUGACGAGACCUCAGGUCAGGCGGGGCUACCCGCUGAGUUUAAGCAUAUCAAUAAGCGGAGGA
RNAcentral lists this unclassified non-coding RNA (400 nucleotides) under soil metagenome. RNAcentral describes it as "partial contains 5.8S ribosomal RNA, internal transcribed spacer 2, and large subunit ribosomal RNA". The stretch from base 1 to 122 matches the Rfam family "5.8S ribosomal RNA", at positions 35 to 154 of the family's 154-position model. The record is from RNAcentral.